AACACUUUAAAUAUAGUUUAAAAGAUGAUUGGAGUGAAUAUUUAAGAUGCAAAUGUCCCUAAUAUUUGCUAAAACUCAUCAUUUUCUUAUGCGGCACAAAAUGAUGUCAACUUUGACCCCGAAAGCCGGUUCAGCGCUGCGUCCCUCACUGGCGCUGCAAGGGGGAAACAUCCCAUGAACUCACUUAUCUCCCUGACCUGUAGGCAGAUCCUUGGCCUGACACUCCACCCGCACCCUUCAUCAGAAAUUUAUGACAUUUCCUGUGUCACACAUUAACUGCACUCACAUUGUCCUCCCACAUUGUGAUUCACUUUCCCUCCCGCGUGGCCUGUCCUUCUCCUUUCUGACUCACUCAUCGAGGUAAAAGGUCCUGCCACCUGUCUGCUCCUUCAACACUUGCGUGUCCAUCACUCAGGACGGCCAGCGAAUCACGGCUUCAGCUGCCGCGGCGGAUCCCACCUGCUGUCACUCUGCAGGGGGAUGCGAAAAUAAUUAUGGGGGGGGGGCAAGCAAGUGUGGAAAUAACAAGCUCUGAGAUAUGCUAUUUGUUUGCACAGGACUCCACUACUGCAUAAGUCAUCACCGGCAUCCCAAGCUCAUCUCGUUUGGUUCCCUUCCCUAAACGAUCCCACUGGAGUGAAUUUACCUUUGAAAGACUGAAGGUUUGUGGGAGGAAGCCUGUGGAGUCAUCCGGGCCUGCAGUCCCUCAGGGGGGAAAAGAGGAACACAGCACAGCCAGAUUCCACGCAUUUCAUGCCAUGUGCACUGUCAUGCCAGAGGGGUGUGAGGGUAAGCCUACGCUGCAGGCAAAAGAGGAACGCCCAAACUCCGGUAACACUCAAGCAACAAACGUCUCCUCUUGGUUUGACCUGCUUUGACAGUUUCAGGAAUCAGAUUAUCUGUCUUCUUGCAUAAGUUCCAAUAGGUAAAAACUGAAAUCCUGGAGGGACGGCAAUCCACAGAUGUCCCACGUAUGUUUUGUCACUCAAACUGAGAAAACAAGAUGCUCACAGACCUGCAGAACGAGAACUCUCACACAUGGGCUGCCCUGUCAGAAACUGAUCAUGUAAAAACAGAAAUAUUCUUUAAAACUCUGAUGGUUCCAAAAAUGCAACCAUAGGACACUUUAGGUAAAACGUAAAGGAACAUUGGUGUUUCCACCAGUGGGAACUCUUUACUGAAGCUGUCUAAUGAUUUAAAAGUGAAAAUGAACUAGUCAUGUGGGAUUUACUGAAUCAGAUUUUGUUUUUAAUAACUUCCAUUGUUGUCUGAAUACAAUAAAACCGGUUAGUAUUCUGUUUUUUUUAAACCUGCUUUCUUCCCAUGCAGGGACACAGGGUUGCUGGAGCCUAUCCACAUACUAUAUAAGUGGAGUACAUCCUGCACAGUUUGCCAGUACAUAACAACACAGAGAGACAAACACACUCCCAUUCGCACCUCAGGGACAAUUUAGAGACACCAAAUAACCUAUGAAGCGUGCUUUUGUACUGUGGGAGGAAAAAGGAGUACUGGGAAAACAUGCAAAGUCCACACAGAAAAGACCCAGAAGGGAUUCGAUGUGGAUUGCCCUUAAUUUUGUUCAUUUUCCUUUCGUGUCACUGACUGACAGACAAGACGCUAACAUCUGAUGUGAAUAUCAGAGCAAGAAUGGUUAAUCUGAGCGACUGAGUCACAACUGUUUAUUUCUCUAUAGAAGUCUUUGGGAUUUUGGCUUCUUGGAGCCGGCUGGUACUUCCUGUUUGGAACGCCAGGGGGGAGGGGCCACUCAGUCCAGUUUUCAUAAUCCGUCAGUGGUUCUCAUCGUGUAUCUGUCUGUGACCUCGAUGAAGAUUUGAUGGGAGCAAUUGCGGUUUCCCGGCAUCUGACCAAACCUUGAACCACAUCACCAGCAUCUUGCCAGUGCCAGCAACUCCUGGUGGGGAUGAGCAUGAAACCCUCUUUGGAGGACUACAACAUCAGAUUGGUCUAAGAGCUUCUUUGCAGUGGGAAUCAGCUAUUGAGAACUACAUCGCCCUAAAAAACAUGGCUGGUCUGUAAAACCUUUAGGGAAGUAUUUGCAUUGUAACUAAACCAGGGCAUCCCAAAACCAGCAGGAAGCAUACUCUCAAGAGCUGGAUUUGGGCACCCAGAACUAAAGUAAUACAACCUUUUUAUGUAUGAUAUUAGCUAUAUGUCAUUUUCCUCUCUCCUAUCAUUUCACGUGUCAAAAAAAGUUUUCUAUGUCUGAAAGAAACCGAACAAAAAUGUCUGUAGUCCAGUAUUUUUUAUUACAGAAAGUAUUAUAUAAAAAAUGUUGCAGUUUUUCAAAGUGUAACAGAAAGUAUAACAAAUAUAGUAGCCCUGAAAUAUAACUGGGUGUGGCAACAUUAACUUUUACAAAAAAAAAUUCAUUUGUCUAAAAGCACCCAAAGCCAGGGGAAUUCUUGAUUGAUUCCAAAGUCCAUGUUGGCUUUACAGGCUCUAUAGGAGUCCAAAAGAGGAAUCUUUAAAAUGUUGGCACAGGUAUUCGCCGUUGGUAAUCUUUAUGUUGAGGAAGACAUGAAGUGAAGGCGUGUCAGAGGACUCAUACCAGAUGGAGGAACACGUGGCACACCUGCAGAAAAAAAACAUCAACAGCUCCUUCAAGGUCAUCCUCUAAAAGUAGAUAGAAAAAAAUUGACAAUACAAACCACCCAUAUUAAAAUUUAGAAUGAUAAUAAGAUGAGUUUUAUCGUGUUUUACGCUUUUAUGAUACUAUUUCACAUUUUCACAAAUCAGGUAAAAGUUUCACAAAUGAGAAACCGUGUUUAAUUUAUUCUUUACUAUCUAAAUUUAAUCCAGGUUUGAGCAGUUCAGGUCCAGCGGUUUUUCAGUACCUGGUCUGAGGUGGACUCAGUGCAUAAAAUGCCUUAAAAAUCAUCCUAUUUCACAUCUUCACAAAUCAGAAACUGUGUUUAAUGUACUCUUUAGAACCAAAUGAAUAAUAUAAUCCAGGUUUAAGCAGUCAGGGUCCUGUGGUUUUUUGAACAGGACCCUGUUUUAGCUGAUUAUAGUCCAAAAAAUGCAGUGGAAUGUUCCUUUAGUGCCCUCGCAAAGCGCAAGAGGCGGUAGACGCAAAUGCUGAAUCACGUUCCGCGUGAAACUCAGCUUGAUUAGUGGUCUUUCUGUACACUGGACUGGCUGUGUCUGCGCGUUAGCCGAAGUUAACAAUAACCAGAAUAAAACUUAGGGCUACCUCUGGCCAAACCAGAUAACAUCAAAAUUACACAUAGUAACAUUUAACACCAACAUUUUCAGUUACUUCACUUUCUCGUUCAGUUUCCGAUUCAAAGCCAACCCACUUCUGGUGUACAUUCUGUAAACUGACUCCAGAUCUGUUGUGGCGUCACUUUCGUGGUGAUGUCACUUCCGCUAAGGCUUUCCUUUUAUUUGCAGCCGUUUUCCAAAAAAUAAUAAAAAAAGAAAAAAAGAAAAAAAUAUUUGCAGCCGUUCUCCUAGAUGCAUCGCUUUUUUAUGUUUGCAUUUAAAGUUUUUUUUUUGCAUCGCUUUUUUUUCUUUUUUGCUGUGAUGCCGGUUAUUGUUUGCAGCAUUUAUUUUUUAUUCGCAUUUCUUCUUUUUUAUUUGAUUUCAUUUUCAUUUUGUUUGCAGUUGCUUUUUUUUUUUGCUGUGAUGGCGGUUCUCGGCCACUGUACAGUUUAGCUCAAGACUACCUAAUGUUGAAGCAAAAGCAGAUGGAAGAAUAGGUACUUGCUGAAAUCCUGUUCUGUAAAAGCGGACAUUUUAAAGUGGCGUAAGAUCUGAUAAUGCAGAAGUCGAACAGAAAUACCCCGCUGAAGGAGGGAAAGCAGUUUGUCCUCUUUGUGUUGGUUGACCCGUGCACUGACCGAAGACCUGACAUUAAAGCCACACGUGCUGGUUCUGAGUCUCCACCUCCGAUCCGUGUUCUUUGACAACAAAGCUCUACUUUAACCUUCAGAAUUUUUCUAAAACUGAAAACCGUUUGCAUUUUCAGCUCAUUCCUCAGUAAUUUUCUGAUGUUUAAACCAACAGUUCAUAAUUUUUAUCAGCUCAAUAAGGUUUGAACUAGUAAGAGAUUUACAAAAAAAAUUAUUUGAUUUAAUUUGACCUUAACAGUCUAAACAAGUAGCAUGAUAUUAGAGGAUUAAUCUUCAUCUGACCCUUCAAUUCUCUCCCUGAGAUGAUCUCUCGCUGUUGUGUUUACUCGGCCGAACACUAAAGUGUUUUCGACGCAUUUUUCCCUGACACCGUGUGAAGCGGUCUCUGACGGGCUCCCUGACUCAGUCCCCCCGUCCCUGACAUAAGCAGAUUUUUGUUCUGGGCCGGUGGACUUGGUACACCUGUUUCAAGUCUUUGUUUUCCCAGAAGCCAGGAUUUCUGUGGUCAAAACAAAAAUAAGAACAGGUUUAAGUUGUAGAGUCACCUUAAACAGUUACAGGAACUACCUUCACUACCUAUCCCUUAAGUGGUUCCCAGAAACUCUCUGUUCUCAGGUGUGACUUUGCAAAAGACUCAAUUUUAUGUCAGGUCUUCAAAUCUUUAUGCAAAAAAUGCAAACCUUGUCAAACGUUUUUUUUGUUAAAAACGUGAAAAGCAAAACAAAUGAAAAGCAAAAAUGAAAAUUAAAACUGUAAAAUUAAAUACAUUUGGAUCUGCAAUGACAUGAUUCAAACUCAAAAGAGUGGAAUGAACGCUUUAAAUGAUAAACAAUUUACUGUCAUGGUGCCUCUUUCAGCUUUCCUCCCCCUCCCCUCUCUGCUUAGCUCCUGAUGAUUCCCAGCUGUGUCCACUCACCUCAUCACCGACCAGACCUAUUUAAGCAGAUCCGGAACCAGCAUUCAUCGCCAGUUCGUUGCUCCUGAUGGACAUUCUGACCACGAGUGGACACCUGAGUCACCGGAUUACCUGAGCCACAGAACCUCUCGGAACACCAAGAACCUCCAGCCUCGCCACGAACCAACUCCGACCACCAGCCUCGCCUCGAGCCGUAACUACCUCAAGCUUCUUCCAGCAACUUCACCCGCUGCUCUCCAGCCUCCAGCCACAUCAAGAUCUCAAGCAACUCUGAAUAUCAUUAAAACUUGACUUACCAACGUCU
Oryzias latipes (Japanese medaka) is the source of this 5095-nucleotide non-coding RNA. The record is from RefSeq and is a predicted model, not a curated record. Lineage: Eukaryota; Metazoa; Chordata; Actinopteri; Beloniformes; Adrianichthyidae.